RNAcentral lists this ribosomal RNA (497 nucleotides) under uncultured bacterium. RNAcentral's name for it is "partial 16S ribosomal RNA". It matches the Rfam family "Bacterial small subunit ribosomal RNA", at positions 28 to 507 of the family's 1533-position model. The record is from RNAcentral.
GACGAACGCUGGCGGCGUGCCUAAUACAUGCAAGUUGAGCGCUGAAGGUUGGUACUUGUACCAACUGGAUGAGCAGCGAACGGGUGAGUAACGCGUGGGGAAUCUGCCUUUGAGCGGGGGACAACAUUUGGAAACGAAUGCUAAUACCGCAUAAAAACUUUAAACACAAGUUUUAAGUUUGAAAGAUGCAAUUGCAUCACUCAAAGAUGAUCCCGCGUUGUAUUAGCUAGUUGGUGAGGUAAAGGCUCACCAAGGCGAUGAUACAUAGCCGACCUGAGAGGGUGAUCGGCCACAUUGGGACUGAGACACGGCCCAAACUCCUACGGGAGGCAGCAGUAGGGAAUCUUCGGCAAUGGACGGAAGUCUGACCGGGCAACGCCGCGGGAGUGAAGAAGGGUUUCGGAUCGUAAAACUCUGUUGGUAGAGAAGAACGUUGGUGAGAGUGGAAAGCUCAUCAAGUGACGGUAACUACCCAGAAAGGGACGGCUAACUACGUG